GUUUGCACUUGUCGGGGAAGGGUGAGAACCUUCGAUUAAGGUUCGACUCGAGCGAAAGCGAGAGAACGUUGCCAACGGCAACGGCCCGUAG
RNAcentral lists this small RNA (91 nucleotides) under Salmonella enterica. RNAcentral describes it as "partial RtT sRNA". It matches the Rfam family "RtT RNA", at positions 1 to 89 of the family's 130-position model. Rfam says of the family: This family represents a bacterial cis-regulatory element known as RtT RNA. Lineage: Bacteria; Pseudomonadati; Pseudomonadota; Gammaproteobacteria; Enterobacterales; Enterobacteriaceae. The record is from RNAcentral.